AUGGAUAGGAAGCAUCAGCCACAUCGUCCCGAUGACAGACAUCGGCUGCCUUCUCGCCUCCCAUGGAGCGUCGGUCGCCAUCAUCACGACGCCCGCCAACGCGUCGCUUGUCCAGAGCCGCGUCGACCGUGUCACCCCGCGCGGCGCGGUGACCGCGGCACCGCGAUCCCCUUUCCGGCCGCGGAAGCCGGCCUGCCGGAGGGGUGCGAGAGGUUGGACCUGAUCACGUCCCCCGCCAUGGUGCCUGGCUUCUUCGAGGCCAACAAGAAGUUCGGCGAGGCGGUGGAGCAGUACUGCCUUCAGGACGCGCCACGCCGGCCGAGCUGCAUCGUCGCCGGGAUGUGCCACACGUGGACGCUGCGCAUGGCGCGAGACCUUGGCGUGCCCUGCUACGUCUUCCACGGCUUUGGUGCGUUCGCCUUGCUGUGCAUCGAGCACCUCUACAGGCAAGGUCGGCACGAGGCGAUUGCGUCCGCGGACGAGCUCGUCGACAUCUCCGUCCUGCAGCCGUUUGAGUGCAAGAUCCUCGGCGGGCAGCUGCCGCCGCAUUUCUUGACAUCCACGUCCAUGGGGAGCGGGCUGAUGCAGGAGGUCCGAGAGUUCGGCAUGGCCGUGGACGGCGUCGUGGUGAACAGCUUCGACGAGCUGGAGCACGGCUCCACGGCGCUUCUCGCGGCAGCCGCAGGCAGGAAAGUUCUCGCCGUGGGGCCGGUCUCUCUGUGCUGCGCACCUAGUCUCGACCCGCAGAGCGAUGACGCGAGGCGGUGCAUGUCGUGGCUGGACGGCAAGAAGGCCAAGUCCGUGGUGUACGUGAGCUUCGGCAGCGCCGGGUGCAUGCCGCCCGCGCAGCUCAUGCAGCUCGGCAUGGCCCUGGUCUCGUGCGGCUGGCCUGCCAUGUGGGUUAUCAGAGGCGCUGACUCGUUGCCCGACGACGUGAAGGUGUGGUUACGUGAGAACACCGACGGCGACGGCGACGCGGACAGCAAGUGCCUGGUGGUGCGUGGGUGGGCGCCGCAGGUGGCCAUCCUGGCGCACCCGGCGGUGGGCGGAUUCAUGACGCACUGUGGGUGGGGCUCGACUCUGGAGAGCGUCGCCGCCGGCGUGCCCAUGGUCACCUGGCCUCUGUUCGCCGAGCAAUUCGUCAACGAGAAGCUGAUCGUGGACGUGCUUGGAAUCGGGGUAUCCGUCGGCGUGACAAAGCCAACGGCGAACGUCCUGACCGCUGGCAAGCAUGGCAGCGGAGAGGCGAAGGCGGAGGUUGGGGCGGAGCAAGUCAACAGCGCUCUGGAGAAGCUGAUGGACGGAGGGGUCGAAGCGGAGGACACGAGGAGGAAGGCUCUGGCAUGUAAAGUGAAAGCAAACGCUUCUUUGAAGGAAGGGGAGUCGUCGUACAACAAUUUGGAGGAAUUGAUUCAGUCUGUGUCUGAAAAUUAG
Molecule: ribosomal RNA, 1434 nt
Filed under: Triticum aestivum (bread wheat)
Lineage: Eukaryota; Viridiplantae; Streptophyta; Magnoliopsida; Poales; Poaceae
Description: partial small subunit ribosomal RNA
Source: RNAcentral